Long non-coding RNA from Nerophis lumbriciformis (worm pipefish), 671 nucleotides. RefSeq lists it as uncharacterized. NCBI's taxonomy places the organism in Eukaryota, Metazoa, Chordata, Actinopteri, Syngnathiformes, Syngnathidae. The record is from RefSeq and is a predicted model, not a curated record.
AUUCAGGCCCCGCCCCUUGUGGGCGUGGUUAUGUGGAAGUCCAAAAUGGAGAUGACGUAAUUUGGUUUGAAAGUUCGUCAAAACGUCAAAGCGGCGCGACAACUUGACUCCAACAUUCACGGUGUCCAUGGACGUAAACUCCACCUCUCCCAAGGCGGACACGCCCGCGUUGUUGACCAGCGCCCACAGACCUUGGGACACAACUUUAGUCUCUAAGGUGACAAGCAGCGGCGCCACCACCUUCUACCUCUCUGCGCCUCCCCCAGGUGAUCUCGGAUGAAGUCCACGGCGUCGACCACCUGCUGGUCGCUGCAGACGUCCAGCUGGAGCACCUUCAUGCGUGACGAGCGACAGUCCUCCAGCUUCUUUGCUCCCGCCCCACCUUGGUCCUGGAACACCACAUUUACUUACUAACUUCUGUCAAUAUCUGCCUUCCUCACCCAUUAUCAGGACAAACUUCUAAUAAUAGUAUUUAACCAACUAUACGGUAUAUAAGCCACACCCACUAAAAUAUGUUCCAUAUAUUAGCCGCACCGGACUAUAAGUCGCAGAUACCAAGGAAAAAGCUACAAACAAUCCGCAAUCCCAGUCUGUGGAACGCUCUCCCUGACCACCUGAGGGCACCACAGACUGUGAAUGCUUUUAAAAAGGCUUAAAAACCCUUCUUAAAA